This is a long non-coding RNA of Rhinichthys klamathensis goyatoka, 960 nucleotides long. RefSeq lists it as uncharacterized. Lineage: Eukaryota; Metazoa; Chordata; Actinopteri; Cypriniformes; Leuciscidae. The transcript has 2 exons. The record is from RefSeq and is a predicted model, not a curated record.
AUCAAGUCACAAAGUCACUUAAUAUUUUCGCAUGCCGUUCAUUGUAAUUUCCUCAAAUUUCCCCAGUCAAAGUGACGUGACAGUACAAAAAAACCCAAACCUUUCAUUAUCUUACCCGAAACACUUCCUUGUCAUCGCAUUGCAUUUUUGAAGAUCUUUUAUUUGGGUAUGCCAGCUAUACCAUGAGUAUUGAAAACCGGUCAUACAAGUUUCAUAGCAUGCGCUCACAUUUCAUUCAUAUAGGGGGUUGGGGUUUUGGAACUCUCACACUCACGUUGAAUCAUAACUUUCCAAAUUACGUUGGGGAUUUUUUAAAAUGUUUUCAGUGUGACUGCUUUAUUUUUAUUGCUGUGCCUGUAUGGCAGGGAAUGUUGUUUUUUCCUGCCUUUAUCCUUUAAUAUGCCUCUAGUGUCCUGAGUCUAACCAGCUACUAUUUAUUGGGGGCCAUUUAUUACUUAUUAAGACCAAACAUCUUUAUCAGGUGUCCAGUUAUCAUACUUCGCUUAUCAGAUGGAUGCUGAAAACGUUUGGCAACAGCAUCUGUAAUUAAUCAGAGCCCAAAAAAAGAAAGGCUUUUUUGAGUUUCAGGAUCGGUUGUGGAUCAAUUGUUUUUUGGGGGGAAUGUUCAUGUUCAUAACCUGUUUAUUUCAUGUAUUCAUCCUUUUGGUCAUUGUUUCCCUCAUCCAUCUGAGUCUUAUUUUAAUGUUAGCUUUUUUUUUAUUAUUAUUAUUGAAAAUCAUUCCACUAAAGGAGCUUUAUACAAGAAUGAAAAUCCUGUUCUUUCUAUUUGUCAUUUAGAUUCUAUUUAUUUCCUAUUUCUUGAAAAAGACAUUUUGAAUUUUGUAGUAUUUUGUUAUUCAUGCAGUUGAUACCAUAAUUGUCAUUUAAUCGCUGUUCCAUUAACAGGGAAAUGGAAACCGCUUCAUGAAAUGGAAAAAUAAACUCUUGAUUUAAAAUUCA